RNAcentral lists this small RNA (20 nucleotides) under Arabidopsis thaliana (thale cress). RNAcentral's name for it is "Ath_wt_06510". Lineage: Eukaryota; Viridiplantae; Streptophyta; Magnoliopsida; Brassicales; Brassicaceae. The record is from RNAcentral.
CGGAUGCUAACGCAAUGUGA